AAGAACCGGAUGAAUUCAGUUUACCAAAGUCAUCUUUUUUCAGGAGACUGAGCGAAGACCCCAACACUGGUCUGGUAAGAUGUUUUAUGUUAGUUUCAGACCAGCACACUUAAGAAAAUACAAUUAUGCUAUUCAAAGGUCAAUGAUAUUGCAAAGUGCAUUGGCGGAGGUCAGCACUGUGAUGUAUCUUUCUCCAAAGGUAAUGAAGGAGCUGAUGGCCAAUGCCUCCUGGAGCACAGAUCUGACCUUGCUGCAGCAGCUGACUCAUGCUGUCCUACACAGAAUAGAAGCAGACGGCCCUCACCUCCUGACAUCGGACGACAUCCUCUCCCUCUCCCAGCUGAUUGAUGGGAUUGCAGCUGGCACUUCCUUUGCAGGAACAAAUUCAAUAGAGGCCAUGCUAUCCAUUGCUACAAAUUAUGUAAACUUUGCCAACGUGAUGCUGGAGCCAGACAUGGCUGCGCAGUGGUUUGGUCUAACCGAGUAUGGGGUUAGUGUUGGACCAUUUACUAUAAUCAAAAGCAUUGAUCAUCUCACUGAGGCUCUUGCAGACACACUGGUUGCAGAGCAAAGAGACUUCUCUCUUUCCACUAAAAACAUAGUUGUGUACAUGAAGUUGCAGAAACUUUCUCAGGAAAGCUGUAAACAAGUCUUCAGACCAUCUCAGCAGCACAGUCUCGAUGAGUUGAUUAUACCGGACUCUGAACUCCAGAGGGUACACGCUCUAGGACACCAGGAGGUGAUGUUUAUUCAUACCCACUACACCCACCUCAGUAAAAUUAUGUCUGGACCAGAUGAGCCUGUGCUGAGGCAACAAGACAAAGGAUCAAGUGUUCUACAAGGUCACCUAACUUCUGCUGUCAUAUCGGCCACCGUCAGAGAUGCUGCAAAGGGUCUAACUGCUCCUGUGGCCGUUCAGUACACCCUUUCUUCAUCACAUGUGGUAUGGUCCAUUGUUCUGAGCGGCCCAUGGGUAAAAUAUAGAUACUACGAUGUUUCAGUCAGGGCUCGAAUUACACACGGCUCCUGGGGGAGCCCGGUGUUACGGUUGGGGAGAUGGGGUGUCGUCCAUCCAAUCACCGUUGCAAAAACUUUGUGA
RNAcentral lists this long non-coding RNA (1099 nucleotides) under Nothobranchius furzeri (turquoise killifish). RNAcentral's name for it is "lncRNA (ENSNFUG00015024985.1)". Lineage: Eukaryota; Metazoa; Chordata; Actinopteri; Cyprinodontiformes; Nothobranchiidae. The record is from RNAcentral.